AGAUUGAACGCUGGCGGCAUGCUUUACACAUGCAAGUCGAACGGUAACAGGCCGCAAGGUGCUGACGAGUGGCGAACGGGUGAGUAAUGCAUCGGAACGUGCCCAGUCGUGGGGGAUAACGCAGCGAAAGCUGUGCUAAUACCGCAUACGAUCUAUGGAUGAAAGCGGGGGACCGAAGGCCUCGCGCGAUUGGAGCGGCCGAUGUCAGAUUAGCUAGGUUGGUGGGGUAAAGGCCCACCAAGGCGACGAUCUGUAGCUGGUACUGAGAGGACGACCAGCCACACUGGAACUGAGACACGGUCCAGACUCCGUA
RNAcentral lists this ribosomal RNA (313 nucleotides) under uncultured soil bacterium. RNAcentral describes it as "bacterial SSU rRNA". It matches the Rfam family "Bacterial small subunit ribosomal RNA", at positions 26 to 342 of the family's 1533-position model. The record is from RNAcentral.